CAAGUCUCUUUCCCUAUUCAUUUUUAUUAUGUUUAUUUACUUGUUAAUAUGCGCUAUUAGUCUUAAGGUUGAAAAAUUCAAAUCCCCGAAAGACGCCCGUUUUGUUUUAACAAUUUAACGAAAAUCGGUCAUCUUUAAAUAGACAUAAAAAAUAAUUUUUGUAAAAAAAAUAUAUCUCACUUAGUUAGUAUUUUCAGUUUUUUUUCCUUUUCCUCUUUAAAACGAUUCUAACUAUAAAAUUGUUCAGUUCAAAUUAAGUCAAACGAAUUUAGCCAAAUAAUUAAUUGUUGGAUAACCACAUAAGUGGACAUUCUAGGUGCUUUUAAAACCUUCCUAGAAUGUUAAUAAGAACCUCGAACCCUUUUUAAGUUUUCAUUAGAUUUCUGUUUUAGUCUUUUGAAAACAACAGUUUUCUUGAUUUUUCUUAAAAAUUAAGUGGCGACUCUUAAACAAGUCCAAAAUACAUUUUCCAAAUAAAACAAUACCAACAAGAAUAAUUUAGGUAACACACUAAUAAUACAUUUAUAAGACAUGCACAAUACAUAUUGUUACCGUCACUCAUUUUUUUAGUGAUCAAAAUAAUUUAUAGGACACAUACUAUAUAAGUUUUAUUCAUGAGAAAUACAUUUAUAAUACAUAUAUAUUGCAACCGUCACUCAUUUUCUUAGUGAUACAAAUCAAAAUAAUUUAUAAAAUAAUUUAUAAGACACAUAUAAUAUAAAUUUUAUUCGUGAACAAUAUAUAUUUAAUACAUAUUGCAAACUUAACUCUAUUCUUUGUGAUACCAACCAAAUGAUUUAGGUAACACACUUAUUAUACAUUUAUAAUACAUGCACACUAUAUUUUUAAUACAUAUUGCAAAC
RNAcentral lists this long non-coding RNA (863 nucleotides) under Solanum tuberosum (potato). RNAcentral describes it as "long non-coding RNA (STUB_LNC006472)". The record is from RNAcentral. Lineage: Eukaryota; Viridiplantae; Streptophyta; Magnoliopsida; Solanales; Solanaceae.